RNAcentral lists this ribosomal RNA (396 nucleotides) under Triticum aestivum (bread wheat). RNAcentral's name for it is "partial small subunit ribosomal RNA". The record is from RNAcentral. Lineage: Eukaryota; Viridiplantae; Streptophyta; Magnoliopsida; Poales; Poaceae.
AUGAUUCUUCGUUCAUUAUCAUGUCGAUUCCUCACAAUCGCUCUUUGUGAUGCUGUGGAACCAUGGCAAUUAGGAUCUCAAUACACAGGAACACCUAUGAUGCAAGGAAUCAUUGACUUACAUCAUGAUAUCUUUUUCUUCCUCAUUCUUAUUUUGGUUUUCAUAUCAUGGAUGUUGGUUCGCGCUUUAUGGCAUUUCAACGAGCAAACUAAUCCAAUCCCACAAAGGAUUGUUCAUGGAACUACUAUCGAAAUUAUUCGGACCAUAUUUCCAAGUGUCAUUCUUUUGUUCAUUGCUAUACCAUCGCUUGCUUUGUUAUACUCAAUGGACGGGGUAUUAGUAGAUCCGACCAUUACUAUCAAAGCUAUUAGAAAUCAAUGGCGGGCGUCGACCUAA